CGUAGGUGAACCUGCGGAAGGAUCAUUACAGUAUGAUUAUGGGGGGGUUGGAUGCUGGCCCGUGAGGGCAUGUUGCGCACUCCCCUGUUGUUAAUCCUACAUAUACACCUGUGCACCUAUGGCGAGCGCCUCCCAUUUGGAGCCGUUUGAUGUCAAACCUUCCUUUCUUUGGGGGGUGAGGCUCGGACCGGGGUGCUCCCUCUUUUUCAUUACCAUCUCAGCCUGUUUGAACGCAUGUUUUAAGCUUUACGGAGCUGAAAAGUAAUAUAACUUUCAACAACGGAUCUCUUGGCUUUCGCAUCGAUGAAGAACGCCGCGAAAGUGCGAAACGUAAUGUGAAUUGCAGAAUUCAGUGAAUCAUCGAAUCUUUGAACGCAUCUUGCGCUCCUUGGUAUUCCGAGGAGCAUGCCUGUUUGAGUGUCGUGAAACCCUCUCGACCCUCCUCUUUAAAAGGGAGGAGGGUUGGAUUUGGAUGCUUGCGACGGUCUUGGCCUGUCGCUCGUCUUUAAAUGCAUUAGCUUGGCCUUUGGAGUCGGUCCGAUGACGGUGUGAUAAUAAACGUCUUGUUUUUGGCGCCGUUUGGGUCCGAUUCUAAUUUGAGGUAGCUUCUAAUUGAUCAUCUUUGCAUCUGACCUCAAAUCAGGUAGGAUUACCCGCUGAACUUAAGCAUAUCAAUAAGCGGAGGAAAAGAAACUAACUAGGAUUCCCCUAGUAACGGCGAGUGAAGCGGGAAGAGCUCAAAUUUGUAAUCUGGCGGCUUACGGUCGUCCGAGUUGUAGUCUGGAGAAGCGUUUUCAGUGUCGGACCGUGUACAAGUCCUUUGGAACAGGGCGUCGUAGAGGGUGAGAAUCCCGUCUUUGACAUGGACUGCCGAUGCUUUGUGA
RNAcentral lists this ribosomal RNA (884 nucleotides) under Ramaria sp. RNAcentral's name for it is "eukaryotic LSU rRNA". The stretch from base 630 to 884 matches the Rfam family "Eukaryotic large subunit ribosomal RNA", at positions 1 to 249 of the family's 3401-position model. The record is from RNAcentral. Lineage: Eukaryota; Fungi; Basidiomycota; Agaricomycetes; Gomphales; Gomphaceae.